Molecule: signal recognition particle RNA, 97 nt
Filed under: Acidobacteriota bacterium
Lineage: Bacteria; Pseudomonadati; Acidobacteriota
Description: Acidobacteria bacterium (freshwater sediment metagenome) signal recognition particle sRNA small type
Rfam family: Bacterial small signal recognition particle RNA
About the family: The signal recognition particle (SRP) is a universally conserved ribonucleoprotein involved in the co-translational targeting of proteins to membranes.
Source: RNAcentral
GUUCGGGUCCUGUGCACCGACCGGUUCCGAACCUCGUCAGGCCCGGAAGGGAAGCGAUAAGGCAUCUUGGUCGGGUGCCGCAGACAAGCCGGAGCCC